AUGUUCGGGUUUAAUCUUGUUAGUAGAGUAUAUAUAACAAAUACAUUCACUAAAAAGAUACAGUACACUACAACAAAUACAUUUUCCAGCCGUGUCACCUUCCCCACCAGCUUUUACCAAAUUUCCCGACGCGAGAGCGAGAGACCUACUUUCCCCUCGUCUCAGGCCAUGGCUCUUAGGGUUUCCACCCUGCCCGUCGCCGCCGUCGGCCGCGCCGGCAACUACACCGUGCACGGCAUCACGGAGAGCCCGGGGGGCAUCUGGGACGGCCUCACCAUCGUCGGCAUCGUCGUCACCGGAGUACUCCUCCGCCGUCGCCUUCGCAGCUGGAGCAGGCACCUGUUCUCUGGUUCCCGGCCCCAUGACCCCCAGCACCGAGACCUAAGGGUGAGGGCCGACCGGGCUGAAAACAAGGGCAAACGUGAGGAGUGGGCGGAGACAAACCGCCGGUUUACCAAGAAGGCCGGGCAAGGGAACCGCUAA
Molecule: ribosomal RNA, 483 nt
Filed under: Triticum aestivum (bread wheat)
Lineage: Eukaryota; Viridiplantae; Streptophyta; Magnoliopsida; Poales; Poaceae
Description: partial small subunit ribosomal RNA
Source: RNAcentral